RNAcentral lists this transfer RNA (71 nucleotides) under Phrynosoma platyrhinos (Desert horned lizard). RNAcentral's name for it is "tRNA-OTHER". Lineage: Eukaryota; Metazoa; Chordata; Lepidosauria; Squamata; Phrynosomatidae. The record is from RNAcentral.
GCCAGCAUGGCAUAGUGGUUUGAGUGUUAGACUAUGCCUCUGGAGACCAGGGUUUGAAUCCCUACUUGGCC